GAUGAACGCUGGCGGCGUGCCUAAUACAUGCAAGUCGAGCGAACAUACGAGGAGCUUGCUCCUCUGACGUUAGCGGCGGACGGGUGAGUAACACGUGGAUAACCUACCUAUAAGACUGGGAUAACUUCGGGAAACCGGAUCUAAUACCGGAUAAUAUAUUGAACCGCAUGGUUCAAUAGUGAAAGACGGUUUUGCUGUCACUUAUAGAUGGAUCCGCGCCGCAUUAGCUAGUUGGUAAGGUAACGGCUUACCAAGGCGACGAUGCGUAGACGACCUGAGAGGGUGAUCGGCCACACUGGAACUGAGACACGGUCCAGACUCCUACGGGAGGCAGCAGUCGGGAAUCUUCCGCAAUGGGCGAAAGCCUGACGGAGCAACGCCGAGUGAGUGAUGAAGGUCUUCGGAUCGUAAAACUCUGUUAUUAGGGAAGAACAAAUGUGUAAGUAAAUAUGCACGUCUUGACGGUACCUAAUCAGAAAGCCACGGCUAACUACGUG
This 497-nucleotide ribosomal RNA is filed under the name uncultured bacterium. RNAcentral describes it as "partial 16S ribosomal RNA". It matches the Rfam family "Bacterial small subunit ribosomal RNA", at positions 28 to 507 of the family's 1533-position model. The record is from RNAcentral.